Molecule: ribosomal RNA, 460 nt
Filed under: uncultured bacterium
Lineage: Bacteria
Description: partial 16S ribosomal RNA
Rfam family: Bacterial small subunit ribosomal RNA
Source: RNAcentral
CCUACGGGUGGCAGCAGUGAGGAAUAUUGGUCAAUGGACGAGAGUCUGAACCAGCCAAGUAGCGUGAAGGAUGACUGCCCUAUGGGUUGUAAACUUCUUUUAUAUGGGAAUAAAACGUUCCACGUGUGGGAUUUUGUAUGUACCAUAUGAAUAAGGAUCGGCUAACUCCGUGCCAGCAGCCGCGGUAAUACGGAGGAUCCGAGCGUUAUCCGGAUUUAUUGGGUUUAAAGGGAGCGUAGGUGGUUUGUUAAGUCAGUUGUGAAAGUUUGCGGCUCAACCGUAAAUUUGCAGUUGAAACUGGCAGUCUUGAGUACAGUAGAGGUGGGCGGAAUUCGUGGUGUAGCGGUGAAAUGCUUAGAUAUCACGAAGAACUCCGAUUGCGAAGGCAGUUCACUGGACUGCAACUGACACUGAGGCUCGAAAGUGUGGGUAUCAAACAGGAUUAGAUACCCGAGUAGUC